Triticum aestivum (bread wheat) is the source of this 1494-nucleotide long non-coding RNA. RefSeq lists it as uncharacterized. The record is from RefSeq and is a predicted model, not a curated record. The transcript is spliced from 7 exons. NCBI's taxonomy places the organism in Eukaryota, Viridiplantae, Streptophyta, Magnoliopsida, Poales, Poaceae.
GAUGUGGAUGGCAAUAAAGGAGAUGUAUUUUUUUCACUUUUUUUCUUUUGUUUUUGAGUUGUUUUCAACUUAUGCAUGUAUGCUAAUGUCUUUUUUUUCAUGUUUUCUUUUGGUUGCUUAAUCAACGUUUUGGAAGUCAGCCGCUUCGCCGGAACUCGAAGCGUCCUGCUAAUCGCCAGCCACGACCUGCGCGGAGUGUUGAGCAGGGAGAGGAUGUUGAGGAUGCUGAUUAAUUCCGUGUUGUAAAGCGUACUAGACGUGCAGCACUUGGUAAGGGAGCUGAGUCAUUUUCUAGGGCAGCAGUUGCUGGAGAAGCUGUCGCAUCUUCCGCAGCAGAUGCUGAGGCCAGCGGUGAAGGAGUUGAGGUGGCUGCAGGGGAAGAUGUGGAGUGACCAUCACAACCAGGCAGGAUAAGGGCAUCACCAGCGCGGUUUGCAAAUUUCAACGCCUCUCUAUCCCCACUAUAGAAGUCAGAGCUAGUUUCGAGGUUGUUCGGGGGGCAAUUGAACUUAUCAGACACACUUCCAGCGGACCUCACUAAGUUCCUAGUGCAGUCCUACCAGCCACAGACCUCUGAAAUGGUUUUCCCAAGAAGGGGAAGGAUCUGUGUCGAUGCUGACAGUGUUCAGAGGGUAUUUGAUCUCCCAAACAGGGGUCAAAAAGUCAGAUAUUUAGUUGACAAGGAUGCCACUAGGAGAUUCAGACAGGCUUUCAACAUAACUGGAAAUUCUCAUCCCCAGAUCACUACAUGGCUCAAGAUGAUUCAGGAUAUGGCUGGAAGAACGGAUGACACAUUCUUUAUGGCCUGGCUUGCGAUUGCCUUCAGCACUUUUCUAGCACCAACCACGGCCUUGAAGCUCAGCCCAAAGUGUUAUGGACUUGUGCUAGAUCAUCAAAUGCUAAAGAAUACAAACAUCUGCCUCUUUGUAGCAGAAUACAUUAACGAAGCUUUCCAGAACAUGGACCAGGAGAAGCAAACUGUCUGCUGCUGCUUGUAUCACUUGAUGUAAGCAACUGCGCGAUACGAUCGAAUGCAUGGGAUAGUACUCUAAUUGCCAAGGUGAUCAAGAAGGAUACUAUCUCUCCUGGUGUGUUCGGCAAAUUACAACUUAAAGAGGAGUAUAGAGGCACGGAGCAGACACCACUGUUUGAUGGAAUUUUGCAAGCUGAAGCAUUCAUGGCAUCCAAGUUACCAAUAACCUACAAUCUGCAGAAAAAGGCAAAGAUUGCGAAAGUGGUCAAUGAGCUGUGCAAGGUUGUAACUGAACAGGUUGGCACCUUCAUUGAAGCAGUUGCCAAGAUCGAUGACGAGGAACCAGAUAUUGAUCCUUACGUACAGCAGCCAUCAAUGCAAACUGGGGCGUCACGCCGUGCUCCAAAAAGAAAGAGACGGGGGUCAACUAUACAAGAAAAAGAAGAGUUUGUUGAGGAUGAGUCAGAAGAAGAUGAGGAAAUGGAAGCAGCGAUAGAUGCUGACGACGACGAGGACACAUA